CCUACGGGAGGCAGCAGUGGGGAAUAUUGCACAAUGGGCGAAAGCCUGGUGCAGCAACGCCGCGUGAGGGAUGACGGCCUUCGGGUUGUAAACCUCUUUUAGCAGGGAAGAAGCGAAAGUGACGGUACCUGCAGAAAAAGCGCCGGCUAACUACGUGCCAGCAGCCGCGGUAA
This 173-nucleotide ribosomal RNA is filed under the name uncultured Microbacterium sp. RNAcentral describes it as "partial 16S ribosomal RNA". It matches the Rfam family "Bacterial small subunit ribosomal RNA", at positions 338 to 523 of the family's 1533-position model. The record is from RNAcentral. Lineage: Bacteria; Bacillati; Actinomycetota; Actinomycetes; Micrococcales; Microbacteriaceae.